Long non-coding RNA from Symphalangus syndactylus (siamang), 2103 nucleotides. RefSeq lists it as uncharacterized. Lineage: Eukaryota; Metazoa; Chordata; Mammalia; Primates; Hylobatidae. The record is from RefSeq and is a predicted model, not a curated record.
UAAUGUUAACCUUGCCUCCGCCGGAGCGGGAGUGGGGAAAGCGAGACGGAGGGGCAAGGGCUAGGUGCAGGGGGGUACUGACUAGCAUCCCAACUCUGCUCCCUACGCUUCUUUCCGUGUACCAAGGGAGGAGGAGGAGCCCCUGCCUCGUUGCGUUGUGGCGUGAGUCUUUGUGGCUUUCGGGUGUGAGGUUGGUGGCACACACUGGCUCGCAGUAAACACCUAAUUGAUGUGACCCGUCUAUGACUGUUAUUGCCACCUUCCGAAGGAGCCUUGCCAGCCACUCCUCGCUUUCAGUUUCUUUUCCCUGCCUGAUUAACUCCUCAGCUCGAAUCGCCAUCUGACACUUUAUUUUUACUUUCUGGCUUUUAUUUAUUUAUUUAUUUCUCGUUCUGCUGCCCAGGCUGUGGUGCAGUUGUGCGAUACCGGCUCACUGCAGCCUACAGUUCCGGGGCUCAAGUGAUCCUCCCACCUCAGCCUCCCGAGUAGAGCUGGGCGCACCACCCCCGACUAAUUUUUUAAUUUUUGUAGAGACGAGGUCUCACUAUGAUGUUGCCCAGUCUGGUCUUGAACUCGUGGGCUCAAGCGAUCCUCCUUUCUCGACCUUCCAAAGUGCUGGGAUUACAGCGGUGAGCCACCGCACCCGGCCACUUUCUUGCUCUUUUGGUUUUGUUUGUUUGUUUGUUUGUCUUUUAUUCACUGCAGUGGAUAAUGUUGGCACAUAGUAGUUGCUCAGUGAGCUCGUUGAAUGAAUGCGUGCAAUUGCAUUUUUAAUUUAUAUCUGCCGGGCCCUAUCUCGUCUGCUCCUGAUGCAAAUUGCCUUGUACAUUAUCAACCUUAAGAGAUCUAACUAAACAGCAUAGAUUCAGGUUAUUUUGUAAAUACUUUGGAUAUUUAUGGAGUGCCAACUAGAUGCGCUGCCUAUGCGGGGAGGUGGGGGGAAGGGCGUGGGAAGGAACGGAAAGGGGAAAAUGACACAUCACCCAGAGUUUAUCUUCCUGGGGACCUCUGCAGGACACCCUGAGGCUAAGUUUCUGUGGGUAGGAAUCCAGGCAUAGCUCAGCUGGGGCCUCUGUUCCAGGGUCUCUCAUGAGGCAGCACAAGGGCUGGAGUCUCAUCUGUAGGAUCAGCUGAAGAAAGACCCUCCUUCAGCGCCUCUGCCCGGCCGCCCCAUCGGGGAAGAAGUGAGGAGCGCCUCUGCCCGGCCGCCCCGUCUGGGAAGUGAGGAGCGCCUCUGCCCGGCCACCCAUCGUCUGGGAAGUGAGGAGCGCCUGUGCCCGGCCACCCAUCGUCUGGGAAGUGAGGAGCGCCUCUGCCCGGCCACCCAUCGUCUGGGAAGUGAGGAGCGCCUCUGCCCGGCCACCCCGUCUGGGAAGUGAGGAGCGCCUCUGCCCGGCCACCCAUCAUCUGGGAAGUGAGGAGCGCCUGUGCCCGGCCACCCAUCGUCUGGGAAGUGAGGAGUGCCUCUGCCCGGCCGCCCCGUCUGGGAAGAAAUGAGGAGCACCUCUGCCCGGCCGCCCCAUCUGGGAAGAAGUGAGGAGCGUCUCUGCCUGGCCGCCCAGUCUGGGAAGUGAGGAGCGCCUCUGCCCGACCGCCCCGUCUGGGAGGUAUACCACGGAGGCCAGAAGCAAUCUGGGGGCUGCACGUGGUGGCUCACACCUGUGGUCCCGGCACUCUGGGGGGCCGAGGCGGGUUGAUCACUUCGGGCUAGAAGUUCGAGACCAGUCUGGACAACAUGGCGAAACAUAUGAAAAAUACAACAGACAAACCAACCAACCAACUCAGUGACAACAAAACAGGUCUAUCCUGGAGUCAUACUCUAAUUUUUUCUAUUUUCCUCCCUUUCUGAUCCUUUAUCCCACUUUCUUUUUCUUCCUCUUCCUUCUCCUUCUUCGUCAAAUAGAGGAUUGAGUUAUUAUCACUGAUCCAUAUAAAGUCCCUCUCUCAUUUAUUUUGAUUCCCACUCCCCAUUUCUAUUCCCCGUCUUCCCAUGUGCAACCUUCCUAAUAUGUUUGAUACGCAUCUUUUUGUUUGUAUGUAUUUUUAGAAAAUGUUUAUUGUUUUUGUGUGCAAAAAAAUUAAUAAAAAAAGAAAAAGAAAGAC